GCGGUCAAGUAAGUCAGUGGUGAAAGCCUUCGGCUCAACCGGAGAAUUGCCAUUGAAACUACCUGACUUGAGUGUAGUUGAGGUGGGCGGAAUGUAGCAUGUAGCGGUGAAAUGCAUAGAUAUGCUACAGAACACCGAUAGCGAAAGCAGCUCACCAGACUACGACUGACGCUGAGGCACGAAAGCAUGGGUAGCAAACAGGAUUAGAUACCCUGGUAGUCCAUGCCGUAAACUAUGAACACUCGGAGUUUGUCGCCUAGCGAUAAGCUCCCUAGCGAAAGCGUUAAGUGUUCCACCUGGGGAGUACGGCCGCAAGGCUAAAACUCAAAGGAAUUGACGGGGGCCCGCACAAGCGGAGGAGCAUGUGGUUUAAUUCGAUGAUACGCGAGGAACCUUACCUGGGCUAUAAUGCCUGUGACAGCUCCGGAAACGGGGUCUUCCUUCGGGACACAGUGCAAGGUGCUGCAUGGCUGUCGUCAGCUCGUGCCGUGAGGUGUUGGGUUAAGUCCCUUAACGAGCGCAACCCCUAUCUUUAGUUGCCAGCACUUUUAGGUGGGCACUCUAAAGAAACUGCCUGCGUAAGCAGCGAGGAAGGAGGGGAUGACGUCAAGUCAUCAUGGCCCUUAUGCCCAGGGCUACACACAUGCUACAAUGGUGAGUACAAAGGGAAGCCACUUGGCGACAAGGAGCUAAUCCCUAAAGCUCAUCACAGUUCGGAUUGGAGUCUGCAACCCGACUCCAUGAAGCUGGAUUCGCUA
Molecule: ribosomal RNA, 758 nt
Filed under: uncultured Bacteroidota bacterium
Lineage: Bacteria; Pseudomonadati; Bacteroidota
Description: bacterial SSU rRNA
Rfam family: Bacterial small subunit ribosomal RNA
Source: RNAcentral